UACGUAGGGUGCAAGCGUUGUCCGGAAUUAUUGGGCGUAAAGAGCUCGUAGGCGGUCUGUCGCGUCGGCUGUGAAAACUCGGGGCUCAACCCCGAGCCUGCAGUCGAUACGGGCAGACUAGAGUGCGGUAGGGGAGACUGGAAUUCCUGGUGUAGCGGUGAAAUGCGCAGAUAUCAGGAGGAACACCGGUGGCGAAGGCGGUUCUCUGGGCCUGUACUGACGCUGAGGAGCGAAAGCGUGGGGAGCAAACAGG
Molecule: ribosomal RNA, 253 nt
Filed under: uncultured bacterium
Lineage: Bacteria
Description: partial 16S ribosomal RNA
Rfam family: Bacterial small subunit ribosomal RNA
Source: RNAcentral